ACAGGAAAUUUAAGGGCGUACGGUGGAUGCCUAGACUAAAAAUGGCGAUGAAGGACGUAGCGUAACUGCGAUAAGCUUCGGGGAGGUGUGUAGCAACCUUUGAUCCGGAGAUUUCCGAAUGGGGAAACCCUGUCUCGUAAACCGAGAUAAUUUUUUACGUAAGUAAAAGAAGCGUACCCUGGGAAGUGAAACAUCUCAGUACCAGGAGGAAAAGAAAAAAAUAUUUAUUUUCUUAGUAGCGGCGAGCGAAAAGGAAAGAGCCCAAACCGAUGUAGCAAUACAUCGGGGUUGUAAGAUAACAAUUUAGAUUUAUCUAGGAGAGUCAAAAAAUAAAAUAUUAGCUUAAGUUGCUGGAAAGCGACACCAUAGAGGGUGAUAGUCCUGUGAGCGAAAAUAUUUUAUCUCUUUUAUUGUUAUUCUUGAGUACCCCAGGACAUGAAUGGCCGGGGGGAAUCUGCCGGAACUAACCGGCAAGGCUAAAUACAUUUUUAGAUCGAUAGUGAACUAGUACCGUGAGGGAAAGGUGAAAAGCAGUCCGAUUAGGACAGUGAAAUAGACCUGAAACCGUAUGUCUACAAGGAGUUGGAGCAGGUAUUUAUAUCUGCGACAGCGUGCCUAUUGAAGAAUGAGCCAACGAGUUUAUGCAUACUGCUCGGCAAAGUUCUCUAAACGAACAGAGCCACAGGGAAACCGAGUGUUAAUAGCGCGUAAUUGGUAGAAUGCAUAAGACCCGAAGCGAGGUGAGCUUGCCAUGAGCAGGAUGAAGUAGAGCGAAAGCUUUAUGGAGGUCCGAACGGGUAGAUCGUACAACGUCUUCCGAUGACUUGUGGUAAGGAGUGAAAAGCUAAUCGAACCUCGUAAUAGCUGGUUCUCUCCGAAAUAGCUUUAGGGCUAGCGUCGUGUGUUUCUUUUGGGGGUAGAGCACUGGAAAGUCUCGACAGGUCGCAAGAUCGCGAGACUUAUCAAACUCCGAAUACCAGAAGUAAGAGCGCGGCAGUUAGGCUAUGGGGGCGAAGCUCCAUUGGCCAAAAGGGAAACAGCCCGGAUCUCAAUAUAAGGUCCCUAAAUUCAUGCUAAGUGUAAAAUAAGAAGGUGAUAUUUCUUAAACAAUGAGGAGGUUGGCUUAGAAGCAGCCACCCUUUAAAGAUAGCGUAACAGCUCACUCAUCUAGAGAUUUCGCGUCGAAAAUAAUUGGGGCUAAGCAUGGUACCGAAUGUGAGGAUUUUAAUUGUCUUAGGACACCUAAAGUGGUAGGAGAGUGUUCCAAUCUGCUGUGAAGUAGGACUUGUGAGAGCCUAUGGAGCGUUUGGAAGUAAGAAUGUUGGCACAAGUAACCGCAAUGAUGCUGAGAACGCAUCACGUCGAAAGAUCAAGGUUUCCUUGGUAAUGUCAAUCAGCCAAGGGUUAGUCGGGCCUAAGGGAAUGGCGAAAGCCGUACUCGAUGGACACAGGGUUAAUAUUCCCUGACUUCUGUAUUUAGUGAUGGAAGGACGAAGUGUAGUAUGUAUUGCUCAUUAUUGGAUUUGAAGUUUGUUUACUAGGGAUGAUGUGUAGGAAAAUCCGCACGCUACUUUUAAUGGUGAAUCCGAGGUAAAUGAAAAGCUUUAGUCUACGGGCUAGGGCUAUAAUACAAAGCACGCUUCCAAGAAAAAUUUCUAAACUUAUAAAUAUAGAAUCCGUACCGCAAACCGACACAGGUGAUCAGGUCGAGUAGACCAAGACGAACGAGUGAGUGGUCCCCAAGGAACUCGGCAAAAAAGCAGCCGUAACUUCGGGAUAAGGCUUCCCAUUUAUUUAUUUAAGUGGGCGCAGCGAAAGUAUCUCUGGCAACUGUUUACCAAAAACACAGCUCCCUGCGAACUCGUAAGAGGAUGUAUAGGGGGUGACACCUGACCAAUGCCAGAAGGUCAAAUAUCGACGGUGAGUGGUCGCAAGAUUAUUUGCAGAUUGAUAUAAGCCCUGGUGAAUGUCGGCCGUAACUAUAACGGUCCUAAGGUUCUGCGUACAACUUCGGUUGCGCGUAGAAUGACUGGGACCGGAAUAGAAAAAAGUAAACAAUUAAAUUAAAAAAUUAUUAGACUAUUCGAAUGCUACCUUCUGUACAGUAAUGUACAGGAAGUCAAAACUUGGCUAACGAGAGACCAGCGUCAAGCAUCCUACUCCUUAAACAGAGGAUGAAGAUAGAGUCCUUCUUAGGUAUAGAAGAGCGAAAUACCUUGUCGGGUAAGUUCCGACGCGCACGAAUGGUGUAAUGACUGGNNUACAAUACCGGUGAAGAUGCCGGUUAAGUGCAGUUAGACGAAAAGACCCUAGAAGCUUUACUAUAACUUGAUAUUGAGUAUGUUUUUUUACUGCGUAGGAUAGAUGGGAGAGGUCUGAUGUAUACGGUUUCGGCUGUAUUCUACUCGUCAGUGAAAUACCAUUCUGUACGGAGGCAUAUUCUAACCAAUACGGCAAAAACGUAUUGAGACAGUAUCUGGUGGAUAGUUUUACUGGGGCUGUACCCUCCUAAAAAGUAAAGGAGGGGUUUAAAGGUAAUCUAGGCGCGAAUGGAAACCGUGCCGAUAGUGUAAUAGCACAAGAUUGCUUGACUGUAAGAGGUACAUCUCGAGCAGGUGGGAAACCAGAAUAUAGUGAACCGACUCUACGCAUUAGACGCGGGAGAAGAUUAACGGAUAAAAGCUACUCUAGGGAUAACAGGCUAGUUCCGCCCAAGAGUUCAUAUCGACGGCGGAGUUCGGCACCUCGAUGUCGGCUCACCUUAGCGCGGCGGCGGAGAAGCUGCCAAGCGUAUGGCUGUUCGCCAUUUAAAAAGGUACGCGAGCUGGGUUCAGACCGUUAAGAUUGUAAAUGUAAAUUUGCAGUUUUAAUAGUCUGAGCCCUCAGAGGAAGAGAGUUUGUAAAAAACUCAAAAUGUUUUAAUCGAAGACAACCAAGUACAUUAAAUUGUACACACGGCGGUUCUCAAAUUUAUUUUUGAGAAAGAAGUCGGGGUUUUCGGAGGAAUCCUAUCCCGUUUACGGGAGGACAACACCGAGAAGAAUUAAAAAUUCUUUGUAGAGACUACAAACCGACCCCAAUAUGGGAACGUAUAGUCCAAUCCCCAAAGUAAUUUGGGACGUAGAUGCGUGAGACAGGUUGGU
RNAcentral lists this ribosomal RNA (3143 nucleotides) under wastewater metagenome. RNAcentral describes it as "bacterial LSU rRNA". It matches the Rfam family "Bacterial large subunit ribosomal RNA". The record is from RNAcentral.